RNAcentral lists this long non-coding RNA (1730 nucleotides) under Sus scrofa (pig). RNAcentral's name for it is "lncRNA (ENSSSCG00060050019.1)". The record is from RNAcentral. Lineage: Eukaryota; Metazoa; Chordata; Mammalia; Artiodactyla; Suidae.
GUGCGGCGGCUGGUUGGUAUCGCCUCCCUACCCACCCCCGCUCCCGUUUCUGUGUCUCUUCGUGUCUCUCUUUCUCCCCUUUCUCUGAAUAUUUGUCCCCUUGUCUCUGCCCUCACCCCUUUGAGACUCCGGCCCCUUCUAAGUCUCUGCGCUCCUUUUGGGUCUCUGUCCCAUUGUUCUAUGAAUCUGUCCCCCCCCUCCUUCAGAGGCUUCCCCCUCUUCUCUCUAAGCCUAAGUCUCCUCCCCCACGACCGCGUCUCGGUCUCCGCAUCCACCCCGUCUCUUUCUCUUGGCUUCUGUACCUUUUGCUAGGACUUGGGUCUCUGUUCCCUGCAACCUCUGCCCCUCUUUGUGACUCUGUCCUCCACUCCCCCCACUCCACUCCCCCCACCCCCACCCCAGAGUGUGUUCCCUCCUCACUCUGGGUCUCUGCCCUUCUUCCAUCUGGGUCUCUGUCCUCGCCCUUGUUCUUUGACUACCUCCCGCUCUGUGUCUUUCUCCCGUCCUCCGUCUUCCCCCCCCUCCGCCUUCCCCCCUCCUCCGUCUCCCCCCUCCCCGUGCCUGCCUUUUCUUUUUACGUCCUUUGUCCCUUUCCCUUCCCUGGGUCUCCACACACCCCCAUCCCGUGCCUCUUUCAUCCUUUUCUGAAUCUCUGCCCCCUUGUUCUGGGUCUCUUUUCCCACUUUCAUUGGGACUCUGUCCUGCCGUCCUUCAGUCUCUGUCCCUCUCUCUCUGGAUCUCUGUCCCGUUCUCUCAGGCUCCCACCCCAUCACCCCCCUUAACCCUCAUCCUGGCCCGGACUCGAGGCUGCGUCACUGCAGAGAGUGGCAGAAGUGCGACCUGUCCUGCGGACCAGGGAGGUAGUUUUCCCUCAACUCUCCCACCCCCGAUCCAGUAUCUUCGGGCAGCCUUCAAGCCCCCAUGAGACCCAGGAGGACAGAGAAAAGACAGUGGGGCUUCCUGCUCUUCUCUGCCCUGAAUUCUAAUGGCUCCCCAGGCCGAAGCAGUGACUCCCGAGCCAGGCACGGGAUCAAGUUACCAAAUCAGCGUUUUUGCAGAGGAGAGGCUUCUGGAGGCAAUAAUGAGGGCUCGCGUUAUGGGACACGCAGCUCUGCAAACAGACCAGGGGGAAGUGGACUCGAUUUUUUGGCGACAGACACCAGGAGAAGGGAGGCCAGUGUUUGCUCAUGUCUUUAGACCCUUUCCCCAUCUCGCCGCUUAUCUUUUCUCAGGUCCUCAAGGCACCAAAUUCCUGAAAGCCCCAAACUCAUCUCCAUCAUCCUUGGUGCCCCUUCCUAACUUCCCUUCCCCCAUUCCCCAAAGCCCUGGAAUUGGGGAAGGGUCUUCCCCUUUCGGACUUCUAGGGCCCUUUCCUCCACCCCCGCUCCUAUCAGUUCCAAAUCCAGGAAAGAUGAUCUCCUGGGCACUAAAGCUGAAAAUAUGGGGACUCUGCCUACGACCCUUGGUCCCUGGAGACCCUCCAAGUACAUCUCCGCUGUAAUCUUUGAGUCCCCAUCUCCCGAGUUCCCCGCUUCCAAAACUGGGAUUUGAGCUGGUUUACCGCCCCCGGACCCUGAGCCAUCUCCUCCCCCGUACUCACCCCAAGUCGAGGCGGGGCGGGGAUGGGGGAAUCCGGGGCUGGCGAUGGGGGGAGGGGUGACCCAGUCUCCGCAGCUCUGGGCAGCAAGAAGCUGCGGAGGGGGGCAGUGACAUCAUCGCUGGAGGAGGGG